RNAcentral lists this ribosomal RNA (365 nucleotides) under uncultured bacterium. RNAcentral describes it as "bacterial SSU rRNA". It matches the Rfam family "Bacterial small subunit ribosomal RNA", at positions 30 to 396 of the family's 1533-position model. The record is from RNAcentral.
AUUGAACGCUGGCGGCAUGCCUUACACAUGCAAGUCGAACGGCAGCACGGGAGCAAUCCUGGUGGCGAGUGGCGAACGGGUGAGUAAUAUAUCGGAACGUGCCCAGUCGUGGGGAUAACGUAGCGAAAGCUACGCUAAUACCGCAUACGAUCUAUGGAUGAAAGCGGGGGAUCGCAAGACCUCGCGCGAUUGGAGNGGCCGAUAUCAGAUUAGGUAGUUGGUGAGGUAAAGGCUCACCAAGCCGACGAUCUGUAGCUGGUCUGAGAGGACGACCAGCCACACUGGGACUGAGACACGGCCCAGACUCCUACGGGAGGCAGCAGUGGGGAAUUUUGGACAAUGGGCGCAAGCCUGAUCCAGCAAUG